RNAcentral lists this long non-coding RNA (1637 nucleotides) under Homo sapiens (human). RNAcentral describes it as "HSALNT0311801". Lineage: Eukaryota; Metazoa; Chordata; Mammalia; Primates; Hominidae. The record is from RNAcentral.
AAAAUGUAGUUAACUGAGAAUCAGAGUGGCCAGGGAGAGAAGAAGGGUAGAGGAGAAAACUCCAUUAAAAAAAAUCCUGUCCUGUAGUCCCCAAAAUUCUAAUAGUUUGAUGUCUGAACAACAUCACCCAGUCAACCUUUUCCAGUCACAAAGAAAUUCUUUGAUCCCAGAAAUAGGUCUAUCUAUGACAAGGCAUGUAACUUUUCUGCACCCCAGUUCCCCAAACUGUAAAACUAUACCAAAAUGAAUCCUACGAGAUAAGGGAUAUGAAACACUAAGAGAUCAUUCUUAAAACUAGUCAAACUUUUUCUGGCAGUAAGAGACAGUCAGUGAUCAAUGUGGGGGAAAGAGGAAAAUCAAGCUAAAAAGCAGUUCAUUCUGAUUUGAAAACAAAACAAAAUCCAUAGCUAUGGAAGACAACUGGGACAAAUGGGAAAUCUCAAUUUUGGAAUACUAGGUAAUUUUAUGGAAUCGUUAGCUUUUUUUAGUGUAAUAAUGAUAUUGUGGCUAGGAACAGAAUAUCUUUAAUCUUAGCAGAUGCAUGUUGAAGUACUUAGAGAUAAAAUGACAUGAUGAAAAACAUGACAUAUAUCUUCGACUUACGAAUGACUCAAAUAAUAGAAAGGGAGGGAGAGAAAGAAGAAGGUUUAUGAAAACUAACCAUCAUUAAAUCUAGGUGCAGGGUAUAUGGGUGCUCAUGGUGCUAUUUUUCAACUUUUCUGUAUGUAUGAAAAUUUGAAAUUUCCAUAAUACAAAGCAGGGAACAAGAGCAUUCUAGCCCUCUAGCAUUCUAGCUCAGGGGUGGGAGGAUAAAUGAGAACCACUCCCACUGAGGGGAACUUGGCAAGAGUUCUUAACACUGUUCAUGUGCCACACAUAUACCCUUUGACCUGGCAAUCCCACUUUAAGGAACAUAUCCUAUAGAUAUAACCACCUCUGUGAAAAAGCACUGUCAGUGAUGGUGGAGUAAAAUAAUCAAAAUGUAUGUUGACAGGGAACUAAUUAAUACAUUGUGUUACAGCUCAUCCUGUGCGAACCUUCAAGAAGACAUAUCUAGAAGAAAUGAUAAGGAAUAAACUAUUACUGCUCUCAUGGGGAGUAUCCACUGAGAAGAGAAGCAGAGCCCAUCUCAAAAACCUCAGCCCUCCUUCCAAAUUCCCUUUCUCUACUGGUUUUUCCUUCCUGCUAUCCACCUGACCACCAGAAAAGGUCCCAAUCCUUUGAAGGAGUCUUGCUUUGGGUCAGACAGUCCUCUACCAUUUGAAGUUGACGUCUAAGAAGAUGAGAACUCAACUUUAUAAAGUCUCCUCUUGUUUUGAGACAAAAGGAAAAAUAGAGGAAAAACCGGAAAGUCCAGCUCAGAGCACCCUAUCAUCUUCGGGCUGCCACCUGGGGCCUCCAGAGAGUAGAAGACCCUCCAGCAGUGGUCAAGGCCUUUCUCAUUCUCCCUACAGUCCUCUGAAUGCCCAAGUCCAGUGAUCCUGAGCUGCACCUUCACUAUUAAUGAAGACACACACCUGACACUUUUCUCCUUUGGAGAGAGAACUGUCCUUCCCAAAUCAGUCUUUUUGCUAUUGACAGCCUUAAGAUGAAGGUAAAAUCUCUAUUCCUUUCCCUCUCCUCUUACACAGAGCACA